This 397-nucleotide ribosomal RNA is filed under the name uncultured bacterium. RNAcentral describes it as "partial 16S ribosomal RNA". It matches the Rfam family "Bacterial small subunit ribosomal RNA", at positions 338 to 732 of the family's 1533-position model. The record is from RNAcentral.
CCUACGGGAUGCAGCAGUGAGGAAUAUUGGUCAAUGGGCGCGAGCCUGAACCAGCCAAGUAGCGUGAAGGAUGAAUGCACAGCGGGUUGUAAACUUCUUUUGUCAGGGAAUAAAGUCAGGCACGUGUGCCUUGUUGAGUGUACUUUAUGAAAAAGGAUCGGCUAACUCCGUGCCAGCAGCCGCGGUAAUACGGAGGAUCCGAGCGUUAUCCGGAUUUAUUGGGUUUAAAGGGUGCGUAGGUGGGUUGUUAAGUCAGUUGUGAAAGGUUGCGGCUCAACCGUAAAAUUGCCAUUGAUACUGGCAGCCUCGAGUACAGUUGAGGUAGGCGGAAUUCGUGGUGUAGCGGUGAAAUGCUUAGAUAUCACGAAGAACUCCGAUUGCGAAGGCAGCUUACCAA